AUUGAACGCUGGCGGAAUGCUUUACACAUGCAAGUCGAACGGCAGCACGGGUGCUUGCACCUGGUGGCGAGUGGCGAACGGGUGAGUAACAUAUCGGAACGUACCCAGUAAUGGGGGAUAACUAACCGAAAGGUUAGCUAAUACCGCAUACGCCCUGAGGGGGAAAGCGGGGGAUCGAAAGACCUCGCGUUAUUGGAGCGGCCGAUAUCUGAUUCGCUAGUUGGUGAGGUAAAGGUGCACCAAGGCGACGAUCAGUAGCAGGUCUGAGAGGCUGUUCUGCCACACUGGAACUGAGACACGGUCCAGACUCCUACGGGAGGCAGCAGUGGGGAAUUUUGGACAAUGGGGGAAACCCUGAUCCAGCCAUUCCGCGUGAGUGAAGAAGGCCUUCGGGUUGUAAAGCUCUUUCGGCAGGGAAGAAACGGUUCUGGAUAAUACCCGGAGCUAAUGACGGUACCUGAAGAAGAAGCACCGGCUAACUACGUGCCAGCAGCCGCGGUAA
Molecule: ribosomal RNA, 502 nt
Filed under: uncultured bacterium
Lineage: Bacteria
Description: partial 16S ribosomal RNA
Rfam family: Bacterial small subunit ribosomal RNA
Source: RNAcentral